RNAcentral lists this ribosomal RNA (467 nucleotides) under uncultured Sphingobacteriales bacterium. RNAcentral describes it as "bacterial SSU rRNA". It matches the Rfam family "Bacterial small subunit ribosomal RNA", at positions 916 to 1381 of the family's 1533-position model. The record is from RNAcentral. Lineage: Bacteria; Pseudomonadati; Bacteroidota; Sphingobacteriia; Sphingobacteriales.
ACGGGGCCCGCACAAGCGGAGGAACAUGUGGUUUAAUCGAUGAUACGCGAGGAACCUUACCUGGGCUUAAAUGUAGAGUGCAUUUUUUAGAGAUAGAAAUUCCCUUCGGGGCUUUCUGCAAGGUGCUGCAUGGUUGUCGUCAGCUCGUGCCGUGAGGUGUCGGGUUAAGUCCCAUAACGAGCGCAACCCUUAUCGUUAGUUGCCAGCUGGUAAAGCAGGGGACUCUAGCGAAACUGCCACCGUAAGGUGAGAGGAAGGUGGGGAUGACGUCAAAUCAGCACGGCCCUUAUGUCCAGGGCUACACACGUGUUACAAUGGCCGGCACAGAGGGCAGCUACCUGGUGACAGGAUGCUAAUCUCGAAAACCGGUCUCAGUUCGGAUCGAAGUCUGCAACUCGACUUCGUGAAGCUGGAUUCGCUAGUAAUCGCGCAUCAGCCAUGGCGCGGUGAAUACGUUCCCGGGCCUU